GACGAACGCUGGCGGCGUGCUUAACACAUGCAAGUCGAACGGUAAGGCCCUUCGGGGUACACGAGUGGCGAACGGGUGAGUAACACGUGGGUGAUCUGCCCUGCACUUCGGGAUAAGCCUGGGAAACUGGGUCUAAUACCGGAUAGGACUCCGGACUGCAUGGUCUGGGGUGGAAAGCUUUUGCGGUGUGGGAUGGCCGCGCGGCCUAUCAGCUUGUUGGUGGGGUGGUGGCCUACCAAGGCGACGAGGGGUAGCCGGCAUGAGAGGGGGACCGGCCAGACUGGGACUGAGAGACGGCGCAGACUAGUACGGGGGGCAGCAGGUGGGAAGAUUGCACCAUGGGGGGAAGCCUGAUGCAGGGGCGCCGCGUGAGGGAUGACGGCCUUCGGGUUGUAAACCUCUUUCAGCACAGACGAAGCGCAAGUGACGGUAUGUGCAGAAGAAGGACCGGCCAACUACGUGCCAGCCGCCGCAGUAA
This 478-nucleotide ribosomal RNA is filed under the name uncultured bacterium. RNAcentral's name for it is "partial 16S ribosomal RNA". It matches the Rfam family "Bacterial small subunit ribosomal RNA", at positions 28 to 523 of the family's 1533-position model. The record is from RNAcentral.